AUUGAACGCUGGCGGCAUGCUUUACACAUGCAAGUCGAACGGCAGCACGGGAGCAAUCCUGGUGGCGAGUGGCGAACGGGUGAGUAAUGUAUCGGAACGUACCUUUCAGUGGGGGAUAACGUAGGGAAAGUUACGCUAAUACCGCAUAUUCUGUGAGCAGGAAAGCAGGGGAUCGCAAGACCUUGCGCUGAUUGAGCGGCCGAUAUCAGAUUAGCUAGUUGGUGAGGUAAAGGCUCACCAAGGCGACGAUCUGUAGCGGGUCUGAGAGGAUGAUCCGCCACACUGGAACUGAGACACGGUCCAGACUCCUACGGGAGGCAGCAGUGGGGAAUUUUGGACAAUGGGCGCAAGCCUGAUCCAGCCAUGCCGCGUGAGUGAAGAAGGCC
RNAcentral lists this ribosomal RNA (386 nucleotides) under uncultured bacterium. RNAcentral's name for it is "bacterial SSU rRNA". It matches the Rfam family "Bacterial small subunit ribosomal RNA", at positions 30 to 416 of the family's 1533-position model. The record is from RNAcentral.